RNAcentral lists this ribosomal RNA (564 nucleotides) under Streptomyces sp. 434H04. RNAcentral's name for it is "bacterial SSU rRNA". It matches the Rfam family "Bacterial small subunit ribosomal RNA", at positions 93 to 671 of the family's 1533-position model. The record is from RNAcentral. Lineage: Bacteria; Bacillati; Actinomycetota; Actinomycetes; Kitasatosporales; Streptomycetaceae.
UAGUGGCGAACGGGUGAGUAACACGUGGGCAAUCUGCCCUGCACUCUGGGACAAGCCCUGGAAACGGGGUCUAAUACCGGAUACGAGCCUCCCGGGCAUCUGGGAGGUUGGAAAGCUCCGGCGGUGCAGGAUGAGCCCGCGGCCUAUCAGCUUGUUGGUGAGGUAACGGCUCACCAAGGCGACGACGGGUAGCCGGCCUGAGAGGGCGACCGGCCACACUGGGACUGAGACACGGCCCAGACUCCUACGGGAGGCAGCAGUGGGGAAUAUUGCACAAUGGGCGAAAGCCUGAUGCAGCGACGCCGCGUGAGGGAUGACGGCCUUCGGGUUGUAAACCUCUUUCAGCAGGGAAGAAGCGAAAGUGACGGUACCUGCAGAAGAAGCGCCGGCUAACUACGUGCCAGCAGCCGCGGUAAUACGUAGGGCGCAAGCGUUGUCCGGAAUUAUUGGGCGUAAAGAGCUCGUAGGCGGCUUGUCGCGUCGAUUGUGAAAGCCCGGGGCUUAACUCCGGGUCUGCAGUCGAUACGGNCAGGCUAGAGUGUGGUAGGGGAGAUCGGAAUUCCU